CCCUCCUUACCACCAUUAUCCACAAACCCUUGCAGGAAACAAUUUCAAUACUCAAAUACUCCCUCCAACCCAUUUUGUUAGGCCUAUUUAAAAAAUCCAACUUUUUAAAGGAAUAUCAUUUAAUGCAUUGUCUUUUAUAUAAAAAAGUACAAGUUUUCAAAACUACCCUCCGUAAUUUAAAAGUUUAGUGAAAAGGGGGGGUAUUGAAUUUUUAAAUAAAGUGAAGGAUAUGUUAGGAAAUUUAUUUGUUGACUUUUCAAAGAGGACUUUAUUUUGGGACAUCCCAAAAUGGAAUGGAGGAAAAAUAAUUUGGGUUUGAGAGAGUAGAUUUGUAAGGAAAAUCUUGAAAAAUGUUAAAAA
This is a long non-coding RNA of Quercus robur (English oak), 360 nucleotides long. RefSeq lists it as uncharacterized. The transcript has 2 exons. NCBI's taxonomy places the organism in Eukaryota, Viridiplantae, Streptophyta, Magnoliopsida, Fagales, Fagaceae. The record is from RefSeq and is a predicted model, not a curated record.